GACGAACGUUGGCGGCGUGCUUAAUACAUGCAAGUCAACUGAAGCAGUGGUAGCAAUAUCGCUGUGGAGGUGGCGCACGGGUGAGUAACACGUAGGUAACCUGCCUUCAGGUCUGGCAUAACUCCGGGAAACCGGGGCUAAUAGCAGAUGAUGCAGCGGCUCGACAUCGAGACAGUUGUUAAAGCUAUGGCGCCUGAAGAUGAGCCUGCGUCUGAUUAGCUAGUUGGCGGGGUAACGGCCCACCAAGGCAACGAUCAGUAGCUGGUCUGAGAGGAUGAUCAGCCACACUGGAACUGAGACACGGUCCAGACUCCUACGGGAGGCAGCAGGAAGGAAUAUUGCUCAAUGGGAGAAAUCCUGAAGCAGCAACGCCGCGUGAGGGACGAAGGGCUUUUGCUUGUAAACCUCUGUAGUGAGAGAAAAAAAUCCCAAUCUUUGGGACAUGAUGGUAUCUCAAAAGUAAGCCCCGGCUAACUACGUG
This 481-nucleotide ribosomal RNA is filed under the name uncultured bacterium. RNAcentral's name for it is "partial 16S ribosomal RNA". It matches the Rfam family "Bacterial small subunit ribosomal RNA", at positions 28 to 507 of the family's 1533-position model. The record is from RNAcentral.